This 857-nucleotide long non-coding RNA is filed under the name Homo sapiens (human). Its description in RNAcentral is "novel transcript". Lineage: Eukaryota; Metazoa; Chordata; Mammalia; Primates; Hominidae. The record is from RNAcentral.
AGAGGCGUGGGUGUUCGGCUACGUCACUGGGGCCCUACGGUGCCUGGAGCUGGGCAGUCUUCUCGUCAGAGUGGGGACUGGUAAGAGCGACCUCCCCGCCAGGUCCUGUGUGUUGCCAGCCGAAGAAGGGUAGCUGAAAAAUUCAGACCCAGCACAGUGUUUAUGUUGGUCAAAAAUAGAAAACUAUGUCUGGCGCCGCCGAGGCGGGAGGACCCUUCAGGCCAAGAGCAGCCUAGCAACAUGGCGCAACCCCAUCUCUGUAGUCCUACCUCAGCUCCCCCCAGCUGAGGGGGGCUCAGCCCCCCAGCCCUCAAGUAUGAACCCAACGGUUCAAGGCUCCAGUGAGCUAUGAUCCCAUCACAGCAUUCCAGCCUGCGAGAUUGAGGACACAAAGACCAACGAGCCACCACAGCCACCAGUCCCAGAACCCGCUAAUGCUGGGGAACGGAAAAUGAGGGAGUUCAACUCUGGCCCUCACAAUCCAGUGGAGGAGACGAAACUCAUCUGCCUCUGUCCCUCUGGGCACGCCUCAUGCCAGGUGCAUCUGUGGACAGGGGCCAUGCUCCUGGGCUUCCAAAGUUGGAGAAAGCUGCCAGGCUCAGGUCUGAAGGCCAGAAUUCUACAGUAAGUCCUACUGAGUCAAGGUGGGAGCAGGGUCGGUGGCUUCUGAGGCUCUGCGGGAGAAUCCGUUUCCUGGUCGUGGAGGUGGCCUGCACUCCUCAGCUUGUGCUGCCAGUCUCGAAUGACUGGAGUUUCCUGCUUCUGUCACUACACCUCCCACCCUCUCCAUCACCUGCUUUGCUCUUAUAAGGAUCCGGAGAAAUGGAAUAAUUGUAUCGCUCAUCUACGUAAACAAA